RNAcentral lists this ribosomal RNA (497 nucleotides) under uncultured bacterium. RNAcentral describes it as "partial 16S ribosomal RNA". It matches the Rfam family "Bacterial small subunit ribosomal RNA", at positions 29 to 507 of the family's 1533-position model. The record is from RNAcentral.
AAUGAACGCUGGCGGCAUGCCUAACACAUGCAAGUCGAACGAAAGGACGAGAAGUUUGCUCCCCUGAGGGUAGCGGGGGACGGGAGCGUAACACAUGGAUAACCUACCUCUCCGACUGGGGUGAUAACGGGAAACAAGGUCUACUAACGGAUAAUAUUUCGAACCGGAGUGUGCAAGAGUUAUAGACGGUCUUUGUGACACUAAUAGCCGGAUCCGCGCUGCAUUAGUUAGUUGGUAAGGUAAAGGCUUAGCAAGGCAACGAUGCAUAGCCGACCUGAGAGGGUGAUCGGCCACACUGGAACUGAGACACGGUCCAGACUCCUACGGGAGGCAGCAGUAGGGAAUCUUCCGCAAUGGGCGAAAGCCUGACGGAGCAACGCCGCGUGAGUGAUGAAGGUCUUCGGAUCGUAAAACUCUGUUAUUAGGGAAGAACAUAUGUGUAAGUAACUGUGCACAUCUUGACGGUACCUAAACAGAAAGCCACGGCUAACUACGUG